Molecule: ribosomal RNA, 253 nt
Filed under: uncultured bacterium
Lineage: Bacteria
Description: partial 16S ribosomal RNA
Rfam family: Bacterial small subunit ribosomal RNA
Source: RNAcentral
GACAGAGGUGCCGAGCGUUAGGCGGAAUCACUGGGCUUAAAGCGUGUGUAGGCGGAUUUUUAAGUACCUUGUGAAAUCCCACGGCUUAACCGUGGAACUGCUUGGUAUACUGGAAAUCUUGAGCCACUUAGGGGCGAGCGGAACAAAUGGUGGAGCGGUGAAAUGCGUAGAUAUCAUUUGGAACGCCAAAGGUGAAAACAGCUCGCUGGGAGUGUGCUGACGCUGAGACACGAAAGCCAGGGUAGCGAACGGG